GUCAGGAUGGCCACCAGACUCAAGUUCUGGUCUUCUAAGAGGGCGUGGGUUCAAAUCCCACUUCUGACA
RNAcentral lists this transfer RNA (69 nucleotides) under Capsicum annuum. It matches the Rfam family "tRNA". From Rfam's summary of the family: Transfer RNA (tRNA) molecules are approximately 80 nucleotides in length. Their secondary structure includes four short double-helical elements and three loops (D, anti-codon, and T loops). Further hydrogen bonds mediate the characteristic L-shaped molecular structure. tRNAs have two regions of fundamental functional importance: the anti-codon, which is responsible for specific mRNA codon recognition, and the 3' end, to which the tRNAs corresponding amino acid is attached (by aminoacyl-tRNA synthetases). tRNAs cope with the degeneracy of the genetic code in two manners: having more than one tRNA (with a specific anti-codon) for a particular amino acid; and 'wobble' base-pairing, i.e. permitting non-standard base-pairing at the 3rd anti-codon position. The record is from Rfam by way of RNAcentral. RNAcentral also lists the same sequence under 1 other name. Lineage: Eukaryota; Viridiplantae; Streptophyta; Magnoliopsida; Solanales; Solanaceae.